AGUUGCGACGUUCAGUUAGGUUUUAUCUUAUUCCCCUGUUACUUCUCAGCAGCAAUUGUCUAGGGUUUCGGAGUCGAAGAAGGGUAAGGUUUUUCGUUCGCCAUGAGAGCCAAGUGGAAGAAGAAGCGUAUGAGGAGACUGAAGAGGAAGCGCCGAAAGAUGAGACAGAGAUCCAAGUAGUGCGUUAAUCCUAGUUUAUUUCUGUUGUUUUUACAAUUGUCUAUGUUGUCAAAUGGGACACCCAGCUGUUAGUGGCACUGGUCUCUCCCUUUUGAUGUUUUGAUACAAUUUGUUGGGUCUUAUUAGUUUAUGUUUGUCUUAUAUUAUUAGCUGAGAACAGUUAUGUUACUGCGUUUGCGAAUCAAAUGGAUUUCUUAUCUUUAUUUCUGA
Cajanus cajan (pigeon pea) is the source of this 390-nucleotide non-coding RNA. NCBI's taxonomy places the organism in Eukaryota, Viridiplantae, Streptophyta, Magnoliopsida, Fabales, Fabaceae. The record is from RefSeq and is a predicted model, not a curated record.